RNA transcript from Trifolium pratense (red clover), 7363 nucleotides. RefSeq lists it as uncharacterized. The transcript has 20 exons. NCBI's taxonomy places the organism in Eukaryota, Viridiplantae, Streptophyta, Magnoliopsida, Fabales, Fabaceae. The record is from RefSeq and is a predicted model, not a curated record.
UCAAAAAUUCAUUCAUUCAUUCUUCUUCAAGUCGUUUUCAAGAAAAGAAUGAAACACGCGCAAUACAUUCUUGAUCAAACCUCUGUGGAUGUUCGGUGGUUCGCUCAAUUAUCUUUAUUAUUUUCAACAUCAACAAACAUAAUCUCUUCUCUUUGCUACGAAAGAGCUUGUGAAGCGGUUAUAUCUUCUGCUUGCCGUAAAGGACUCUGAUGCUAAUGUUCCAAAAAAUCUAGAAGCCAGGGCAAAACCUGUUAGUGAAACAUUACCAUUCAGUGUUUUCACUCCAUACUAUAGUGAAACUGUGCUUUAUAGUACAUCUGAAUUGAAAUAGGAGAAUGAAGUUGGAAUUUCUAUUCUAUUCUAUCUUCAAAAGAUAUUUCCAGAUGAGUGGGUCCAUUUUCCUGAGAGAAUUGGUCGAGAUUCGUCUACUGAGGAUGCAGAACUUCAAGAAAAUUCUAGUGAUGCUUUGGAACUUCGCUUUUGGGCAUCUUAUCAAGGGCAGACUCUGGCUAGAACAGUGCGUGGUAUGAUGUAUUACAGGAGGGCUUUGAUGCUGCAGAGCUUUCUGGAGAGCAGAUCACCGGGUGGUAGUUAAAUAAAAACAUUAUUCUAAUUAAGCUUGGCAUGUAUAUUUGCUGACAUCGGCUGUAUCAACAGUGGACAAGUAUUCUCAGAACAACUUCAUUACAAUUAUACCUAGGAACAUGAAGAAGAUGAUAAAUGUAGUGAUUCAUGGAAACGUUAUAAUUGAAGGUAGUACUUCAAAAGAAGGUCAUUGUUCUCUGCAAUGGUGUGGAAGGAAUAUAUUUUCCAAGCCUUGACUUACCACAUUGGGUCACUCAUUCCUGGAAUUGAAAAGGCAUUAAAUGACAAAUCAUCUACCUCAAUUUUGAAGCCCUGAUAUUCUUGUUCGUUAUGAUCAUACUCUUCUUGUUGCUGAUCAUAGACGCUGUGAGCCUAAGAAGUUUGGUGGUCGUGUUACUCAGGCUAGGUUCCAGAAAUCUUACCGUUAAAUUGUUUUUGGUAUUAUUCAGAUGUUAUUGUGUUUAUGUUUUUCAAUUACUCUUUAAAAUUUCUAUGCACUGUUUAAAUUGAAGGUUUGAUGGUUUUGAAAAAAAAAAUAAAAAAUGAAAUGAUCAAACGGCUGAGCAGAGAGAUUUUUUCAAUACUCUCUUUCAUUCAUUCUUCUCAUCAUGCUGCAUCUGCAUGUCUACUUGAAUUGUUACUAAUUUGAAAUACCGUGUUUCAUAUCGAGAUUUAGGUCACUCGUUCUCUGAUAAAUUUUGAACUCACUGGAUUUUAUAAUAUCAGCAUAACUGACCUUUGUUUAGUUUACUGUGCUGGGUUAUACAGGGAUCAUAUUAUGAUAAUUCCAACUUCCAUUGCAAUUGUGGUGAUCCCGAAUCUCUGUUCAUUCCUGGUGAGUUAAUUGAAGUUACUACUUGCAACCAUUCAUUGAUACAAGGAAAUUGUCUUUUUGGUAUAUAAUAUAUAAGGAAAUAGUCUUUCUGGUAUAUAAUAAGAGUCUGUUUGGAUAGACUUAUUUGAACUUAUCUACUAGCAUAAACACUUGUAAGUCUGUUUGAGACAGUUUAAAGAAACAUUUUCAUUGCUUUCAUGAUAAUGAUAUCAAUGCAGUAUAGCAUAUUUAAGCAUGUAGGUACUCUUCUGUUAUAUUUUUUUCUUAUGCACAAAAAUAAUUUGGCAACAUAUAAAAUUGUUACUAUAAAUUAAGAAGAUACUAACUUCUUUCCUUCCUUUUUAUUAUUCUAUUGGGGACAAAAUCUGACUUUGUUGUAUGAUCGAGUCCUAAAAUACCCCGAUCAUGUCUGAUAUUUGUAUUUCACUUUUCUCUUUGUCCAGCGAGCAGUAACCAAAGUGAGUAUAAUUUGCCCUGAUUUUAAUUGAUUGAUCUUGAUAUAUACUUUACUUCUUUUAGAACUUUCAGUUAAGAAGUGUUCAUGAUGCAACCUAUGUUUCACUUUAGGCUGCAGAUUAUCUCGAGCAGGCUGAGUACACAUUUUUAGGAGUGAAAGAGAAGCAUAAUAAAACUGCACCAGGUAAUUCUUUGUCAUCAUUUAUCUUUCCUGCAAAUAGAAUGGUUACAAAUCAGAGCUUAUUCAAAUAACGCAGGAAAAUGACAUUAAACCGGACAAAGUUUGAUAAAAAUAGUUAGUGGAAGAAUUUCCUCCGUUCUAUUGAAGGAACUACUCACUUUCUAGUUCAUAUUAAAGCACUGUUUCGCUCAGAUUUCAGCAAAAUCUGAAUAUAUUGAUUUUUUCCUUCAUUUUAUGCAUGUAUGUAUGGCAGAUUAAAGAAACAUAACCCAAGCCAUUUUUUUACACAAUCUGAUCUGAAUUCCUUCUCACGAGUAUUUUUGAAGGAAAAAAACACAAUGGACAGCCAAUACAACCAUACCUGAAGAGAAGAUAGCCUGUGGAAAUUCAUCCACCAACUUUUCAAUUUUACUUCCUGCAACUCUUUUCCCCUUGACUAACCUUCGACGAUUUCUAAAGUAAAUGAAUGGAAAAUUAUCAAAUUUAAUCAUAGCAUCACAUUCAGAAAAUCAGUAAAUUGAUUGUAGGAUCAUUAAGUUUUUAUGAAGAGUGUCACCUGUCAUUUUACAAGCCACAAUUGUGAAAGAAUAAUAUUGUACCUUGGAGUAAUGUCUCUAUUAUGGCUUGUAAGUUGAGGUGCCACUCUUUACAAACACAUUUAAGGCCUUAUCUCUAUUCAAUGUGGGACUUGUGUUUUUCCUAAUAUGGAUAUAAUGAUUACAUGUGUUCAUAUGUUAUAAUCUUGACGUGAAAAUCUCUUAAUUUACAAAUAAGCAAUCAAGUACUAGAGCACUCUCUUGAUGCUGCACUGAAGGCAAUUACAGUGAAUGUGUAAGCAAACACGUGUCAAUUUGUAUUCUUUGUAUAUCAAGCUUUCUUCUAACUUUUAAUCUGACAGACCUCCACCUGUAAAAGUAGGUGCCUGCAGGGCAUUUGCUCAACUUCUACCUAAAGCAAAGAAAGUAAUUGUCCAACCACAGUUAUUCGGUUUAUUUUCAUCCCUCACGGAUCUUCUUAAUCAUGCAUCAUAUGGUUUCCUUGGAUACGGUACUUGAAACGUUGCAAGAAGCAGUAAAGGCAGGUUAGGAAUAUCUUUCUCUGGUGUGUAUGUGUGUGUGUAUUUCUGGUCUAGUUAUACUUCCACACAUAUAUGUUAAUGUUAAAUAUUUCUAUGGAAAUUACUAAUUUACUCUUCUAUCCCCACACAAUUGUGAUACAAUUAACUGUUUGGUUCAAAUGCUCGCUGAGAAAUUUCGCAUUUUCAUUCAAUAACCAAGGUAUGGUAUAUUAGGAGUUGCAACUUUUGAUAUCGUUGCAUUAAAUAUUUCAUUUUCAUUCUCGAAGCUGAUCAAAUGUGUGUUAUUUGAUAAUGAUGCAGAGGCUGUUUUUUCUCAAACUAAACCUAUUGCUACAUCAGUAAAGGAUGGUUUUAAUGUUUGUAUAUUUGCUUAUGGGCAAACUAGAACUAGUAAAACAUUUACAAUGGAGGGAACACCAGAAGAGAGGGGAGUUAAUUACCGAACACUUGAAGAAUUGUUUAGGAUAUCCGAAGAGAGAAAGGGUGUAAUGAAGUAUGACUUACAUGUUAGUAUGUUGGAGGUUUACAAUGAGAAUAUAAGAGAUCUUCUAGUGGAAAACUCUACCCAGCCUACUAAGAAGUGAGUUUUAAUUCUUCUUAAUCUAAUUAGCACUGUAGUUUUUAGGUCCUUUAUUUUAAAUUUCAAAAUUGAUAGUCAUUUCAUAUGUUCUUAACAAAAACCAAAUUUGAGAAAGCCGAUUGGUUAUUGCUAGGCUGGAUAAUGAGUCUGUAAGAAAUGUGCACUAUUUUAGUGUGACAAUUUUCUCGACUAAUUUAACCUUAACAAUUUGGUCAUUUUUUAAAUUUAAAUUUGCAUCACAAUUAAAGGUAAAAAAACUAACUACCAAGUUUUGUUGAUUAUUUUUCUGGAUACUAUUCGUGGAUUACUAUUGCACUAAAAUUUAGGUGUGUUUUGACACAACAAUGCUACUUUUUAGUUGUCUCAGUAUGGAUAUAUUGCAAAUUCUUCUUUCCAUAACUGUGACAUACUCAAUUCGUGUAACUCAUCUUCAUAUGCCGAGUACAAGAUAUCUUACCCAAUAUUACUUACAUUCCUUGGAUAAUGAACACUAAAUGACUUGGAGCAGCUCCAGCGGGAGGUAUUUCAUAAUAAGUCCGCCAGCAUGUCACCCCAAAAACUCAACUUUUUCUCAUUUCUUUUGCUGGAGUCCGCACAUCAAAUGAACGGAAAGGAAGCAUCUCAGAACAUUUUGGCACCUGGUGUUGCUGAUCAUCAUGGGCACUGGCUUAGCUGCAAGCUAGAUAUAAACAACUGCUCUUCUAAUCAGCUUGAUCCAAUGCAAGGGAAAUAAUGGUAACUUUUGGGAUUUUAUGACUUCCAAAUUCACAAGUGCCGUGAUGAAUCAAGGUGUGCUAAUUAGACUCUGAUGAUCUUCUGCCGCUACUACCUGAUAUGAGUCCUUUCGGUCAUGAUAUAAUUUUAUCCAGUUGGCGAGCUCAAUUGAGUAAUAAUGGUUCAAACCCUUCCUUGUUUAGAGCAGUCUAUAAUGCAUCUGGAUGGCCAUAGCCAUGGUUUAUCGAAGUCCGCACAUCAAAUGAACGGAAAGGAAAAUUUUGCUCGAAGGAAUUCAAUGACAACAAACACAUAGAAAGCCUUGCAAGACCAAUAAGCAGGGUAUCCAUUGCUAUGAGACCACCACCUGUACAAUCAACAACACAGGUUGUUUUGUUAUUUCUUUUUCCCUUUCCACCUGUUUUCUUUCUUGGAUAUAGAAUUUAGGGAAAAUGUAAUUGACCUCCCCUGAAGUUUCCUUAAACAACAGAGACACCCCCUCUAGUUUUCAUAAAACACUCACCUCCCCUCAUUUUUAACACCGUCAAACUACUGUUAGGUAAAGAUUAAAAAAAACUGUUUUAUUGUUGUUUCUUCCGAAAUUGAUCUGUGCUUCUCUCUAUCACUCAACCGUAUCUUAAGCUCUCUACAGAUCAAAAUCUUAUAGGAAAAUCAAAUAUGCUGGCCGAUGUGAAUUUCUAAUGAGAGCAUUUAGGGAUUUGAAAAGUUAGGAAUUUGAAGAGAAAGAAAGCAUUUAGUUUAGCCAAAAUUCAGAUUGAAUAAAUAAAAUAGUCAAAAUAUUAUUAGUGCUUUUUUUUUCUUCCUAUUCUUUGUGCACCGACAAUGUAUUGCCCACUGUUUCAUGUUCCAGUAUGUUAGUAGUUCCUGCAUUGUGCUUUGUUAGAUUUUCUUUCAAACAUGAUUAUUUAUCAUUUAGCGUAUUAAAAAAAUGGAAACCCGUCUUAGAAUAGCAGUUUCAUAAAAUGUUGAAGAAAAUAGAACGAGUGCAACAGUUGAAGAAAAAAUGUUGACCAAUAAGUAAAAGAACUCAGUUUGUGUGAGCAAAAGUGAAGGAGUUAAGGUGAAAGGGAGGUGUUUGUCUAUUUGAUAGAAAAAUAUGGGAGGUUAGUGAUCACUUAAAAACUAGAGGGGGUGUUUGUGUUAUUUAAAAAGACCUCAGGGGAGGUUAGUGUAAUUUGCCCUAAAAUUUAUUACAUUUCAUCUUCCUGCUCAUAAACCAUGUUUGGAUAUAAUAUCUACUCAGAGUCUCUGACCUCUAAAUUAUUACUUAGCUUUUUUCAUGUCUAAUAUGUUACUGGAAGUUCUACGAUGGAUCAGACAUAGUUCAGGAGUUUGGAACUCCAAACAUCAGAACAAUUGAGCGACUACAUUUAUAAAACAUUGAACAGUGGCCAGGGUUUAGGGAGAUCAUGGCGACACUUUCUAGGAUUGGCUUAUUCAAUAAUGAAGCUCACCCGAUUCUAAAGAAUGAAGAGAGACCAACCUUUAAAAAAUUCAUGUUUGACCUUCUGAAAAUUGUUCAUGAAGAUCCUAGAAAGGAUAUCAACACUAGGACAUUGCAAAGAUCAAAGAUCUGCGAUGAUGACAGCAAAAACAAUCAUAUUUUUGGGACUAGUUGAUCAAACAGAAAUCCCUACUUCCUGCAAAAAUGCUUUUGAUGUUGCAUGUUUCCGCAUGGAGGAGAGAUUAUCCUACUCCAACACAGAAGGGUAUAUUACUUUGAUGAAUCCAUAUGGAAUUAGGAUGUGAUCUAACUAAAAUCUCUCUUGAUUUCAUACUUACUUUCAGUGCAUAGCUAACAAAGGCAUAUGAGACUGUUAAUGUUGUUUUUGAUGUUUCAAAAGCUGUUAAUAUGACACAAUCUAUGAAAGUUGUUUGUGAGAUAGAAGGUGGUAGAGGUCCUAGUAUGUGGGAUGGGAUGCCUUUACACACACAAAAGGGACAUUUAAAAUGUGCUGCCUUUGUUGUUCUAUCUCUGUAUAAUGAUGCAAGAUAAUCUCUUGGCCAAUUUUGAAAGCUGAUCUAACUACUAAUUGUUAUCAAAUAAUCAGUGACUAAACCCCUUCCUUUCAUGGGAGUCAAGGAGAACAUGGUGUUAUUGGAUCGGCGAGAAGAAUUCCUUUAAAUGAUAUUGCUAACGUUGGUUCUUCAUCUUUGAAAAAAACCAGCAAAAUCAUCACAGACAACAAGUUCGUUGAAGACAGGGAAAUAUACAGUACAUAAUGGUACAUUUAUUAAUCGUGCAAGAUGUUCACUAAGAGCUUCGUUUAGGCGGAAUGUGGAAUCUAUCAAACCACGUCAUAUUGCAUUCCAAGGCCAAAAGAGAUGAAGAAAUUGGCCUUAAAGUUCGUUUAAGAGUGCAAAAGAGCAAGGUAGCCACAAUAUUACCGACGGACAAAAGCAGUAAAGGCCACCCAAAGGGCACUACACUCUGGCAAGAUUGUGAAGAAGCCUCAAAAGAAAUCUAAUAAACCCAAUCCUUCGCGAAAGCCUUCCUCUUCAAGGACAGAAGAAAUGCGGGUGCUAUUCCAGACUGACAUGAAGGAUAAAAAGCCGAAACAGAGAGGUUCUGGAACAGGAAAGAAGGCGAAGCAAUCAUUCAAAAGCAAGUCAAGGGACAAUGAUUUGCACAGGUUACUUUUUAUGCCUAAUGGCCUACCAGACGGUGCUGAGUUGGCUUACUAUGUCAAAGGACACGUGUGUAAGACCCGUAAUUUCACAGUUUAUUUUGUGUAAGGAGAAUAAAUAUUGGAUAAAAGUUUUAGGGUUUGUUUAAGUCGUUUUGUAUGUAUCGUUGUAAUAACGGCAUUUUUGGCUGAGUUUAAGUCUGUUUUGUGCUCGUGCGCUGAAAAGGCACAGACUUUUGGGCUGUAAUCCUCUUUUAUGUAUGAGAAGGUUUAUGCAAAUUCAGAA